UAGAUUUAGCAGAACUGAUUACAAACUAUAUAUAUAUGACUAAUAUCAGUCACUACUGAAGUCGUCGUCGAAGGUAACGCUCUCUGCUCCUGACAAAGUCUGUAGAUCGGGGUGUCCAAAGUCAGUCCUAGUGGCCUGGCAUCCUGCAUG
Long non-coding RNA from Poecilia latipinna (sailfin molly), 150 nucleotides. RefSeq lists it as uncharacterized. Lineage: Eukaryota; Metazoa; Chordata; Actinopteri; Cyprinodontiformes; Poeciliidae. The transcript has 3 exons. The record is from RefSeq and is a predicted model, not a curated record.